RNAcentral lists this ribosomal RNA (253 nucleotides) under uncultured bacterium. Its description in RNAcentral is "partial 16S ribosomal RNA". It matches the Rfam family "Bacterial small subunit ribosomal RNA", at positions 524 to 776 of the family's 1533-position model. The record is from RNAcentral.
UACGUAGGGUGCGAGCGUUGUCCGGAAUUACUGGGCGUAAAGAGCUCGUAGGUGGUUUGUCGCGUUGUUCGUGAAAACUCACAGCUCAACUGUGGGCGUGCGGGCGAUACGGGCAGACUGGAGUACUGCAGGGGAGACUGGAAUUCCUGGUGUAGCGGUGGAAUGCGCAGAUAUCAGGAGGAACACCGGUGGCGAAGGCGGGUCUCUGGGCCUUACCUGACGCUGAGGAGCGAAAGCAUGGGGAGCAAACAGG